This 611-nucleotide ribosomal RNA is filed under the name uncultured bacterium. RNAcentral's name for it is "bacterial SSU rRNA". The stretch from base 1 to 517 matches the Rfam family "Bacterial small subunit ribosomal RNA", at positions 338 to 873 of the family's 1533-position model. The record is from RNAcentral.
CCUACGGGAGGCAGCAGUGGGGAAUCUUGCGCAAUGGGCGAAAGCCUGACGCAGCCAUGCCGCGUGAAUGAUGAAGGUCUUAGGAUUGUAAAAUUCUUUCACCGGGGACGAUAAUGACGGUACCCGGAGAAGAAGCCCCGGCUAACUUCGUGCCAGCAGCCGCGGUAAUACGAAGGGGGCUAGCGUUGCUCGGAAUUACUGGGCGUAAAGGGAGCGUAGGCGGACAUUUAAGUCAGGGGUGAAAUCCCAGAGCUCAACUCUGGAACUGCCUUUGAUACUGGAUGUCUUGAGUGUGAGAGAGGUAUGUGGAACUCCGAGUGUAGAGGUGAAAUUCGUAGAUAUUCGGAAGAACACCAGUGGCGAAGGCGACAUACUGGCUCAUUACUGACGCUGAGGCUCGAAAGCGUGGGGAGCAAACAGGAUUAGAUACCCUGGUAGUCCACGCCGUAAACGAUGAUUGCUAGUUGUCGGGAUGUUUACAUCUCGGCGACGCAGCUAACGCAUUAAGCAAUCCGCCUGGGGGAGGUACGGUCGCGAAGAAGUUAAACGUUAAAAGUAAAGUUAGUUACGGUCGUUAGAGAGUUGCCGACGGACGACGACGAGGGAGGAGG